Molecule: transfer RNA, 75 nt
Filed under: Chitinophagaceae bacterium
Lineage: Bacteria; Pseudomonadati; Bacteroidota; Chitinophagia; Chitinophagales; Chitinophagaceae
Description: tRNA-Gly
Source: RNAcentral
GGGCGUUGCCCUAGCUGGCUCAGAGCAUUCCGCUCCGCGGAAGGGUCGGCGGUUCGAACCCGUCAACUCCCACGA